UUGCAAAAACUGUAUUAUUUUGUUUCCAUGCAAUUCUGAAUGAGUAUCUUCAGAUCACGUAAUUCACAUGCGAAGAAGAAAAUGUUUGAGGUUACCAUCUCAAUACAUUACUUCGACCUCCUAAAUAGCUAUAUGUUACUGAAUAUGUCAUUUUUUUGUUUCAUGUCUGCAGGAAACAAACUUACUCUUGAGUCUGGCAGUGAUUGAGCUAAGUGAUAUUACUUUUCCUGUCUAUCCAUCAUUUUACAUCAAAGGUUACACUCCAGGCCAUAUGUUUCACUUCCGAUGUGUAUUCUGGCAACAACAGUUUUUUCUUGUUUGCCAUUUUCUUUCUACCAAAUAGACAUUGUGCAAACAAGCUUAUAAAUUACUGUUUGCCAUUUUCCUUCUAAGCUUCUGGGCUGAAACUUCUUGAUGGAUACUAACCCCCACCUCAAGUGUGCAAAUGUG
Molecule: long non-coding RNA, 450 nt
Organism: Lolium rigidum
Lineage: Eukaryota; Viridiplantae; Streptophyta; Magnoliopsida; Poales; Poaceae
Exons: 3
Source: RefSeq, a predicted model, not a curated record